This 253-nucleotide ribosomal RNA is filed under the name uncultured bacterium. Its description in RNAcentral is "partial 16S ribosomal RNA". It matches the Rfam family "Bacterial small subunit ribosomal RNA", at positions 524 to 776 of the family's 1533-position model. The record is from RNAcentral.
UACGUAGGGUGCAAGCGUUGUCCGGAAUUAUUGGGCGUAAAGAGCUCGUAGGCGGUCUGUCACGUCGGGCGUGAAAAUCCAGGGCUUAACCCUGGACCUGCGUUCGAUACGGGCAGACUAGAGUUCGGUAGGGGAGACUGGAAUUCCUGGUGUAGCGGUGAAAUGCGUAGAUAUCAAGAGGAACACCUGAGGUGAAGGCGGGUUGCUGGGCCGACACUGACGCUGAGGCGCGAAAGCUAGGGGAGCAAACGGG